This 727-nucleotide ribosomal RNA is filed under the name uncultured bacterium. RNAcentral's name for it is "bacterial SSU rRNA". It matches the Rfam family "Bacterial small subunit ribosomal RNA", at positions 140 to 853 of the family's 1533-position model. The record is from RNAcentral.
GGGAUAACACUUGGAAACAGGUGCUAAUACCGUAUAACACUAUUUUCCGCAUGGAAGAAAGUUGAAAGGCGCUUUUGCGUCACUGAUGGAUGGACCCGCGGUGCAUUAGCUAGUUGGUGAGGUAACGGCUCACCAAGGCCACGAUGCAUAGCCGACCUGAGAGGGUGAUCGGCCACACUGGGACUGAGACACGGCCCGGACUCCUACGGGAGGCAGCAGUAGGGAAUCUUCGGCAAUGGACGAAAGUCUGACCGAGCAACGCCGCGUGAGUGAAGAAGGUUUUCGGAUCGUAAAACUCUGUUGUUAGAGAAGAACAAGGAUGAGAGUAAAAUGUUCAUCCCUUGACGGUAUCUAACCAGAAAGCCACGGCUAACUACGUGCCAGCAGCCGCGGUAAUACGUAGGUGGCAAGCGUUGUCCGGAUUUAUUGGGCGUAAAGCGAGCGCAGGCGGUUUCUUAAGUCUGAUGUGAAAGCCCCCGGCUCAACCGGGGAGGGUCAUUGGAAACUGGGAGACUUGAGUGCAGAAGAGGAGAGUGGAAUUCCAUGUGUAGCGGUGAAAUGCGUAGAUAUAUGGAGGAACACCAGUGGCGAAGGCGGCUCUCUGGUCUGUAACUGACGCUGAGGCUCGAAAGCGUGGGGAGCGAACAGGAUUAGAUACCCUGGUAGUCCACGCCGUAAACGAUGAGUGAUAGGUGUUGGAGGGUUUCCGCCCUUCAGUGCUGCAGCA